Molecule: small nuclear RNA, 23 nt
Filed under: Arabidopsis thaliana (thale cress)
Lineage: Eukaryota; Viridiplantae; Streptophyta; Magnoliopsida; Brassicales; Brassicaceae
Description: snRNA_15130
Source: RNAcentral
UUUAAAGAGGGUAGUAAUGAAAA